Molecule: long non-coding RNA, 331 nt
Organism: Ylistrum balloti
Lineage: Eukaryota; Metazoa; Mollusca; Bivalvia; Pectinida; Pectinidae
Exons: 3
Source: RefSeq, a predicted model, not a curated record
CCCAGGUAAUAGUCUGUUGUAUCUGUGUAUACAUUGUUAUACAGACCCCAGUAUCUACCCAGGUAAUAGUCUGUUGUAUACAUUGUUAUACAGACCCCAGUAUCUACCCAGGUAAUAGUCUGUUGUAUACAUUGUUAUACAGACCCCAGUAUCUACCCAGGUAAUAGUCUGUUGUAUCUGUGUAUACAUUGUUAUACAGACCCCAGUAUCUACCCAGGUAAUAGUCUGUUGUAUCUGUGUAUACAUUGUUAUACAGACCCCAGUAUCUACCCAGGUAAUAGUCUGUUGUAUCUGUGUAUACAUUGUUAUACAGACCCCAGUAUCUACCCAG